UUAAGUUAAUAAGGGCGCACGGUGGAUGCCUUGGCACUAGGAGCCGACGAAGGACGUGACAAACGACGAUAUACCUUGGGUAGCUGUAAGUAAGCGAUGAUCCAGGGAUUUCCGAAUGGGGGAACCCAACAGGUAAUACCUGUUACCCACAUCUGUUAAGGAUGUGAGGAGGAAGACGCAGUGAACUGAAACAUCUAAGUAGCUGCAGGAAGAGAAAGCAAAAGCGAUUGCCUUAGUAGCGGCGAGCGAAACGGCAGAAGGGCAAACCGAAGAGUUUACUCUUCGGGGUUGUAGGACUGCAAUGUGGACUCAAAGAUUAUAGAAGAAUGAUUUGGGAAGAUCAGCCAAAGAGAGUAAUAGCCUCGUAUUUAAAAUAGUCUUUGUACCUAGCAGUAUCCUGAGUACGGCGGGACACGUGAAAUCCCGUCGGAAUCUGGGAGGACCAUCUCCCAACCCUAAAUACUCCCUAGUGACCGAUAGUGAACCAGUACCGUGAGGGAAAGGUGAAAAGCACCCCGGGAGGGGAGUGAAAUAGAACCUGAAACCGUGUGCCUACAACAAGUUCGAGCCCGUUAAUGGGUGAGAGCGUGCCUUUUGUAGAAUGAACCGGCGAGUUACGUUAUGAUGCGAGGUUAAGUUGAAGAGACGGAGCCGUAGGGAAACCGAGUCUGAACAGGGCGAAUUAGUAUCAUGACGUAGACCCGAAACCAUGUGACCUACCCAUGAGCAGGUUGAAGGUGCGGUAAGACGCACUGGAGGACCGAACCAGGGCACGUUGAAAAGUGCUUGGAUGACUUGUGGGUAGCGGAGAAAUUCCAAACGAACUUGGAGAUAGCUGGUUCUCUCCGAAAUAGCUUUAGGGCUAGCGUCGACAUUAGAGAUUCUUGGAGGUAGAGCACUGUUUGGGUGAGGGGUCCAUCCCGGAUUACCAAUCUCAGAUAAACUCCGAAUGCCAAUGAAUUAUGGUCGGCAGUCAGACUGCGAGUGCUAAGAUCCGUAGUCGAAAGGGAAACAGCCCAGACCACCAGCUAAGGUCCCAAAAUAAUUGUUAAGUGGAAAAGGAUGUGGGGUUGCACAGACAACUAGGAUGUUAGCUUAGAAGCAGCUAUUCAUUCAAAGAGUGCGUAAUAGCUCACUAGUCGAGUGACCCUGCGCCGAAAAUGUACCGGGGCUAAAACAAUUUACCGAAGCUGUGGAUACCUUUAUAGGUAUGGUAGGAGAGCGUUCUAUGUGUGAUGAAGGUAUACCGUGAGGAGUGCUGGAACGCAUAGAAGUGAGAAUGCCGGUAUGAGUAGCGAAAGACAGGUGAGAAUCCUGUCCACCGUAAGACUAAGGUUUCCAGGGGAAGGCUCGUCCGCCCUGGGUUAGUCGGGACCUAAGGAGAGACCGAAAGGUGUAUCCGAUGGACAACAGGUUGAUAUUCCUGUACUAGAGUAUGUAGUGAUGGAGGGACGCAGUAGGCUAACUAAAGCAGACGAUUGGAAGAGUCUGUCUAAGCAGUGAGGUGUGAAUUGAGUCAAAUGCUUAAUUCUAUAACAUUGAGCUGUGAUGGGGAGCGAAGUUUAGUAGCGAAGUUAGUGACGUCACACUGCCAAGAAAAGCUUCUAGCGUUUAAACAUACUCUACCCGUACCGCAAACCGACACAGGUAGUCGAGGCGAGUAGCCUCAGGUGAGCGAGAGAACUCUCGUUAAGGAACUCGGCAAAAUGACCCCGUAACUUCGGGAGAAGGGGUGCUGACUUUAGGUCAGCCGCAGUGAAUAGGCCCAAGCAACUGUUUAUCAAAAACACAGCUCUCUGCUAAAUCGUAAGAUGAUGUAUAGGGGGUGACGCCUGCCCGGUGCUGGAAGGUUAAGAGGAGUGCUUAGCGUAAGCGAAGGUAUGAAUUGAAGCCCCAGUAAACGGCGGCCGUAACUAUAACGGUCCUAAGGUAGCGAAAUUCCUUGUCGGGUAAGUUCCGACCCGCACGAAAGGCGUAAUGAUUUGGGCACUGUCUCAACGAGAGACUCGGUGAAAUUUUAGUACCUGUGAAGAUGCAGGUUACCCGCGACAGGACGGAAAGA
Molecule: ribosomal RNA, 2062 nt
Filed under: Streptococcus pneumoniae
Lineage: Bacteria; Bacillati; Bacillota; Bacilli; Lactobacillales; Streptococcaceae
Description: bacterial LSU rRNA
Rfam family: Bacterial large subunit ribosomal RNA
Source: RNAcentral